AUUGAACGCUGGCGGCAGGCCUAACACAUGCAAGUCGAACGAGUGGCGGACGGGUGAGUAAUGUCUGGGAAACUGCCUGAUGGAGGGGGAUAACUACUGGAAACGGUAGCUAAUACCGCAUACCAUCGGAUGUGCCCAGAUGGGAUUAGCUAGUAGGUGGGGUAACGGCUCACCUAGGCGACGAUACCUAGCUGGUCUGAGAGGAGGACCAGCCAACGUGGAACUGAGACACGGUCCAGACUCCUACGGGAGGCAGCAGUGGGGAAGAUUGCACAAGGGGCGCAAGCCUGAGGCAGCCAUGCCGCGUGUGUGAAGAAGGCCUUCGGGUUGUAAAGCACUUUCAGCGGGGAGGCGUUACCCGCAGAAGAAGCACCGGCUAACUCCGUGCCAGCCGCCGCGGUAAUUC
This 406-nucleotide ribosomal RNA is filed under the name uncultured bacterium. RNAcentral's name for it is "partial 16S ribosomal RNA". It matches the Rfam family "Bacterial small subunit ribosomal RNA", at positions 29 to 526 of the family's 1533-position model. The record is from RNAcentral.